GAGGCCGAAGCGGGUGGAAGAAGAAGAUUCGGGGUCUUGGGAGUCGAAGGUGGGGGAGAGGAAGAGGGACUUGUAGGUGUAGGAGAAGGAGUGGAGAGGGAUGCAGUGCUGGGAGAGGAGGGCGAAGUAGGCGUUGGAGGGGUCGUCGAGGAGGGCGGUGGCGAGGAGGCGGCGGGUGGCGGAGAUUAGGGUAGGGGAGGAGCGGAAGGUGCGUUUGGAGGAGAUGAAUUUGUUGAUGAAAAGAGGGGACAAAGGGCGGGUGAGGUUGACGGAGGGGUCGGCGUGGAUGUAGAUGUUGAAAAGGUUGGAGGGGGUGUUGGAGAAGAACUGGUCCCAUAAGGAGGAGAAGUGGAGAUCGGAGUUAGUGAGGAAGAGAAAGGCGAUUUUAAGAGAGGG
RNAcentral lists this long non-coding RNA (396 nucleotides) under Glycine max (soybean). RNAcentral's name for it is "long non-coding RNA (GMAX_LNC002717)". The record is from RNAcentral. Lineage: Eukaryota; Viridiplantae; Streptophyta; Magnoliopsida; Fabales; Fabaceae.